RNAcentral lists this ribosomal RNA (208 nucleotides) under uncultured bacterium. Its description in RNAcentral is "partial 16S ribosomal RNA". It matches the Rfam family "Bacterial small subunit ribosomal RNA", at positions 568 to 774 of the family's 1533-position model. The record is from RNAcentral.
UGCGCAGGCGGCCAGGUGUGUCUAGGGUGAAAUACUGCAGCUUAACUGUAGAACUGCCUUAGAAACUACCUGGCUAGAGUAUCGGAGAGGCAAGCGGAAUUCCAGGUGUAGCAGUGAAAUGCGUAGAUAUCUGGAGGAACACCGAUGGCGAAGGCAGCUUGCUGGACGAUUACUGACGCUCAGGCACGAAAGCGAUGGGGAGCGAAAG